GUUUUCGUGGUGUAGUGGUUAUCACGUGUCGUUCACAAUUAGUUGAACAUUGUUACCCGACAAGGUCCCCGGUUCGAGCCCGGGCGAAAACA
This is a non-coding RNA of Neophaeococcomyces mojaviensis, 92 nucleotides long. The record is from the annotation of a GenBank genome assembly. NCBI's taxonomy places the organism in Eukaryota, Fungi, Ascomycota, Eurotiomycetes, Chaetothyriales.